GAUGAACGCUGGCGGCGUGCCUAAUACAUGCAAGUCGAGCGAACAGACGAGGAGCUUGCUCCUCUGACGUUAGCCGAGGACGGGUGAGAAACACGUGGAUCACCUACCUAUCAGACUGGGAUAACUUCGGGAAACCGGAGCUAAUACCGGAUAAUAUAUUGAACCGCAUGGUUCAAUAGUGAAAGACGGUUGUGCUGUCACUUAUAGCUGGAUCCGCGCCGCAUUAGCUAGUUGGUGAGGUAACGGCUUACCAAGGCAACGAUGCGUAGGCGACCUGAGGGGGGGAUCGGCGGCACUGGAGGUGGGACGCGGUCCAGACUCCUACGGGAGGCAGCAGUAGGGAAUCUUCCGCAAUAGGCGAAAGCCUUACGGAGCAACGCCGCGUGAGUGAUGAAGGUCUUGGGAUCGUAAAACUCUGUUAUUGGGGAAGAACAAAUGUGUAAGUAACUAUGCACGUCUUGACGGUACCUAAUCAGAAAGCCACGGCUAACUACGUG
This 497-nucleotide ribosomal RNA is filed under the name uncultured bacterium. Its description in RNAcentral is "partial 16S ribosomal RNA". It matches the Rfam family "Bacterial small subunit ribosomal RNA", at positions 28 to 507 of the family's 1533-position model. The record is from RNAcentral.